RNAcentral lists this ribosomal RNA (301 nucleotides) under uncultured bacterium. RNAcentral's name for it is "partial 16S ribosomal RNA". It matches the Rfam family "Bacterial small subunit ribosomal RNA", at positions 509 to 807 of the family's 1533-position model. The record is from RNAcentral.
CAGUAGCCACGGGAAUACGUAUGUCGCAAGCGUUAUCCGGAAUUAUUGGGCAUAAAGGGCAUCUAGGCGGCCAGACAAGUCUGGGGUGAAAACUUGCGGCUCAACCGCAAGCCUGCCCUGGAAACUGUUUGGCUAGAGUGCUGGAGAGGUGGACGGAACUGCACGAGUAGAGGUGAAAUUCGUAGAUAUGUGCAGGAAUGCCGAUGAUGAAGAUAGUUCACUGGACGGCAACUGACGCUGAAGUGCGAAAGCUAGGGGAGCGAACAGGAUUAGAUACCCGUGUAGUCCCUGUCUCUUAUAC